AGGAAAUUGUUCCAAGUUUUUAGUUUCCAGCCUUCCUAAUCUUUUUUAGUUGAUGAUAAAUCUGUUGAUGGUAGAAACUACAAUUACGGACUUACGGAGGAAAGAAGCUAUGCCUGCACCAACUGCCAAAUAGAUGAAUUUGAGAGCUUCCUGAAGAAAUAAAAAGUACAGGCGAAUGGACGACCUGUUCAGUUGGACCUUUUCAUUGUGUUUGGAGGAUAAAUGGUUUUUCAUCACUCGAGCAUCGAUCUCCGAGAGGACCUAUGGUGAGCAUUACGGCGACUUUCAUGGAUAAUGAAGAGACAUUCAUCACUCGAGCAUGUCGGCAUUAGGGCAAAUUAUUGGGUCAGAGUUAGCGACCCGACCCGAUAACGCAUUUCAUUUGAAUUCCGGAAAAUAAAGAAUGGAAACGCUACGUAUUUUAUUUUCAAGCGACAUUUUCACUGUUACUCCAGCUCUGGUAAGCGCUCUCGGAUUCCUCCAAUACCUUCGGUUCUGCAUUAGCUUAUUCCCGCCGGAGGUAGACGACGAGAUUGUAGAAGAUCAUCAAUCAGGAAGAGCUCAAUAUGGAGGCACAGUCAACUCGUAGGGAUCAGCUCAAAGAAGCACUCAUCCAAAGCAUGCCCAGAGGAGAACCCACUUUAACAAGAUUUGAUAAGGUUAGGCACUCGUCCAAAUAAAACUCGACUCAGCAGGACUCAAACCAGAAUGACUCUCCUUUUCAAGGCAAUCAUUUCAAAGGAGCUUGCCUCCACCAAAGGACCGCUCACCCCAUCAACACGAGAUGCUCACCUACUCAGACUCAGUUGUGGCGACCAUGCCUUCUCAAUCAGGACCUUGAUUUAAGAGGCACUGGCCAAAGUCACUCGACAAAUGCCCUAGCAAAAACCCAAGCCAAGUCAAAUAUAUCAAGACACUAUUAAUCCCAAUUAGUCCAUAUGUUUGCAAAAUUCAAGCAUUGUACUACUUUAUUUUUAGAUAUAGCAUUUCUUGUAGCCUUCCCAUCACUAUAAAUAACA
Dendrobium catenatum is the source of this 1019-nucleotide long non-coding RNA. RefSeq lists it as uncharacterized. The record is from RefSeq and is a predicted model, not a curated record. Lineage: Eukaryota; Viridiplantae; Streptophyta; Magnoliopsida; Asparagales; Orchidaceae. The transcript is spliced from 4 exons.